AGGAUAGAACCUUUCACAGGAGACAACAGCUUUUAAAACGCAACCAGGGACUACCAGGAAACACCACAACAAACACCCAAAACACAGGAAGGAGCCCGCCAGCUGCAGAAAGCCAGCCUGAGGAUCAAAAGCACAACAUCCCAGAUAACUGUGAAGGUAAUGGGGAGCAUAGGGAAUUCCUGAUGUCCUGCAAAUCUUCAGCAAGGAGCAUGGAAGAAGAGUGCAGGAAAAGACAGUGAGAGGACAUUAUUUCCUAUGCACAUGAGAUAAGCUCUCAGCAUGAGUACAACCCAGAGUCCCACUUAGCUUCUCUUCACGUAUUUACUUUGCAGAGAUGAGGCCACUCGCACCAAUGGAGCAGGCGGGGAAGAAGACGCAUCUAUUGGUGAAGCUCAGCCCAGCUCUGUUGGCAUCAAGCACCCAUGUUUAUUACAGCUGGCAAAGAGGUCCCAGCUUCAGACAGCCGUCUGCCAUCCGCUUUGGCCAGACACCGAGACGCUAGCAAUUGUCUGCUGUUACUGUCAUGAGUAAAGUUAUAGAAGAGCUAUAAGGGAAGUCUGACAUAUUUCAUAUCUUGCACUACUCCAAUGAAAGCUGCAUCUGAGAGAAGAUAGAAAUUAUAGGUGAGUACAAGAUCUAUGUGGUACCCUUUUUAAAACCUUUAGAUGCUCACAUGAUGCACAAACCAAAGCCGUGAGUGGUUUGAUUAUUUUAUAUAUGGAUCAGUGCAGUUAUUGGUGAAAUUAAGGCCAUGCAUCCUGCCUGUCAGUGGGUUUGCACAAUGGACAUGAUGGGGGCCAACCUAGUAGGGCUUAUAAGAGACAUUUCUAUUCCUAUACAUGCUCUUUACAGGGGUUCAUGCUGUGCUGAGGAGCUGUGCUCGUGGACCCGGACAAUUGUAUGAAAUAACUGGAUAGUCAUGAAGUGGAGAAAGUACUCUCAUCCCCACCCUCAUGAUGGGUAUGCCUGUG
Molecule: long non-coding RNA, 971 nt
Organism: Neopsephotus bourkii (Bourke's parrot)
Lineage: Eukaryota; Metazoa; Chordata; Aves; Psittaciformes; Psittacidae
Exons: 5
Source: RefSeq, a predicted model, not a curated record